RNAcentral lists this ribosomal RNA (505 nucleotides) under uncultured bacterium. RNAcentral's name for it is "bacterial SSU rRNA". It matches the Rfam family "Bacterial small subunit ribosomal RNA", at positions 29 to 518 of the family's 1533-position model. The record is from RNAcentral.
AAUCAACGCUGGCGGCGUGCCUAACACAUGCAAGUCGAGCGCGAAAGCGGGGCAACCCGCAAGUAGAGCGGCGAACGGGUGAGUAACGCGUGGGUGAUCUACCUCCGAGUGGGGAACAACAUCGGGAAACUGGUGCUAAUACCGCAUGACAUCCUCAGGUCACACUGAGGAUCAAAGCCGGGGACCGUAAGGCCUGGCGCUUGGAGAGGAGCCCGCGUCCGAUUAGCAGUUGGCGGGGUAACGGCCCACCAAGGCGACGAUCGGUAGCCGGCCUGAGAGGGCGGACGGCCACACUGGGACUGCGACACGGCCCAGACUCCUACGGGAGGCAGCAGUGGGGAAUUUUUCGCAAUGGGCGCAAGCCUGACGAAGCAACGCCGCGUGGGGAUGAAGGUCUUCGGAUUGUAAACCCCUGUCGACCGGGACGAAAGUACCCGACCUAACACGUCGGAAUAUUGACUGUACCGGUGGAGGAAGCCACGGCUAACUCUGUGCCAGCAGCCGC